ACCUUAAAACUAGCCUAAAUAUUUUAAAAAUAUAACACUAUUAUAAUGUAUUACCUUAAAUAAUCUUAUUUAAAACAUUCUUACCUUCUUAGUAUAGGCGAUAGAACAGAAACUUAGAGCUAUAGAAAAAGUACCGCAAGGGAAAGCUGAAAAAGAAAUGAAAUAAACCAUUUAAGUAAAAAAAAGCAGAGAUAAACCCUCGUACCUUUUGCAUCAUGAUUUAGCCAGAACAACUGGGCAAAAAGACCUUAAGUCCACCUUCCCGAAACUAGACGAGCUACUUCGGAGCAGCACAUUUAGAGCCAACCCGUCUCUGUGGCAAAAGAGUGGGAAGACUCCCAAGUAGAGGUGAUAAACCUACCGAGCCUAGUGAUAGCUGGUUACCCAAGAAAAGAACCUAAAUUCUGCAUUAAUUCUUCAAUUCGUCACAUAAGAAUUACUUACAAAGACUUAUUGUAAAAAUUAAUAGUUAUUCAAAAGAGGUACAGCUCUUUUGAAUUAAGAAACAACUUUCCAAGUAGGGUAAUGAUCAUACUUUUUAAGGAUUAUAACUCAGUGGGCCUAAAAGCAGCCACCUGUGAAGCAAGCGUCAUAGCUCCAACUUUUACCAAACCAAUAAUUCUGAUAUUAAAUCACAACCCCCUUACCUAUAUUGGGUAAUUUUAUCAACUGAUAAAAGAACUUAUGCUAAAAUGAGUAAUAAGAGGCUAAACCUCUCCCUAACACCAGUGUACGUCAGAACGAAUUAAAACACUGACAAUUAACCGACGCCAAUCUGAGGCUAAUAUAUUAUUAAUAAAUAACAAGAAAAACAUAUUAAAAUUAUCGUUAACCCUACACAGGAGUGUUACUAGGAAAGAUUAAAAGAAAAUAAAGGAACUCGGCAAACAUAAACUCCGCCUGUUUACCAAAAACAUCGCCUCUUGCCCUACAUAAGUAUAAGAGGUCCCGCCUGCCCUGUGAUAUUAUUUUAACGGCCGCGGUAUUUUGACCGUGCGAAGGUAGCGUAAUCACUUGUCUUUUAAUUAAAGACCCGUAUGAAAGGCACCACGAGAGUUUAUCUGUCUCUAUUUUCCAAUCAAUGAAAUUGAUCUUCUCGUGCAGAAUCGAGAAUAAUAACAUAAGACGAGAAGACCCUAUGGAGCUUUAAACACCUAAGUUAAUUAUUUUAAUAUAUAAAUCUAAGGACACAAAUACUAUAUAAUAAAUUUAACUCAACUUGUUUUUGGUUGGGGCGACCAAGGGGUAAAACAAAACCCCCUCAUCGACUGAGUAUUUACAUACUUAAAAGUUAGAACUACAAUUCUAACUAAUAGAAUAUCUACCGAACAAUGACCCAGGACAUAUAAUCCUGAUCAAUGAACCAAGUUACCCUAGGGAUAACAGCGCAAUCCUUUCUUAGAGUCCCCAUCGCCGAAAGGGUUUACGACCUCGAUGUUGGAUCAGGACAUCCUAAUGGUGCAACCGCUAUUAAGGGUUCGUUUGUUCAACGAUUAAUAGUCCUACGUGAUCUGAGUUCAGACCGGAGUAAUCCAGGUCAGUUUCUAUCUAUGAUGGUAUUUUUCCUAGUACGAAAGGACCGGAAAAAUGAAGCCAAUACUUACAAGCACGCUUCAUUCCCACCUGCUGAAAUUAACUAAAGCAGAUAAGGGAAAAUCGCUAACCAAGCCGAAAAUCACGGUUA
RNAcentral lists this ribosomal RNA (1684 nucleotides) under Zapteryx exasperata (banded guitarfish). RNAcentral's name for it is "16S ribosomal RNA". It matches the Rfam family "Bacterial large subunit ribosomal RNA". The record is from RNAcentral. Lineage: Eukaryota; Metazoa; Chordata; Chondrichthyes; Rhinopristiformes; Rhinobatidae.